AACUGGCUGAGAGCCUUCAGAUGAGAACACUCUGAGCCUCAGUCUCCUUCAAUGGAGGCACUGGACAGCAGGAAGUCAGAGAAGACUUUCAGUGCUAACUGCUCAGUUUUUAUCAAAGCAACUGUGAAUUGUAGAAAGGGGAAAAUUAGCUCUGAAGUAUUUAAGAGGAAAAUGGGGAAUUUUCUUGGAAUUGAUUGAACAUGUUUUAAGACAUCACAAGGAUGCCUCCAAACCUGCUUGACUAUGAACAAUGACUUGUUCUCCUCCAAGGACUAGAUAUGGAGUCUUAUGCUGACCAGGCUGGUCUUGAACUCCUGACCUCCAGUGAUCCUCCAUCUCAGCCUCCCAAAGCCCUGGAAUUACAGGCAAGGUUAUUGAAGAUCACACAGGCUGAAGAAGGGCUGCUGAAUUCUUCAAUAUGAACCAUCCCUUUGAUAAGAAACUGAGUGGGCCUGGUUCUUCUCAUCCCAGGAGAGCUCUGGUGUGCUUCCUGGCAUAUAAGUGAGUGGGAAAGGCUCUGCCAGUCCCCAGUCCCCCACCCCUCUUGCCACUCAGCCUCAAUCUGUCAACCAGGCCAGCUAGCCCGUCUAUUAAUGCUGACAUUGAUUUGGAUCAAUCAAGAUCCCAUAAUUACUGGGAGUUUUAAUCAACUCAUGCCAAUUCAGCUGCCGCUCAAUUUGUGCUGGACUUCGGUGCUCACAAGGAGGGAAGCGGCGAGGGUGGGGUGGGGCGGGGGGAGGGCAUGCAAAAAGGAUUACAGGGAUCAAUAGUCCUUGGUAAUGAAGGACAGCAGCUGCAGGCACCACCAGGGGGCCUGAGACUUCAGAGUGGAGGAGACAGAGCCUGCCCCCAUCCCCCAGGAGAGCUCCCUGGCAGAGAAUGAAAACCACGCCCCUGCUUCACCUCUGCCUACACCUGGAUCUGGAAACCACUUAGGCACUACCAGGCAGCACCUGUUCUCUGCAGGGUCCAACCCUCAGUAUCUCUCUCCACAUUUUGCCCUCAGCCAGGCCUGGCCUCCUCUUCCUGAAGAAUCUUAUGUAUCCUUCAGAGCCAGCAAUCCCAUUACUGGGUAUACAUCCAAAAGAAAAUAAAUCGUUCUACCAAAAAGA
Molecule: long non-coding RNA, 1112 nt
Organism: Homo sapiens (human)
Lineage: Eukaryota; Metazoa; Chordata; Mammalia; Primates; Hominidae
Exons: 3
Source: RefSeq, a predicted model, not a curated record